AUUGAACGCUGGCGGCAUGAUUUACACAUGCAAGUCGAACGGUAACAGGCCGCAAGGUGCUGACGAGUGGCGAACGGGUGAGUAAUGCAUCGGAACGUGCCCAGUCGUGGGGGAUAACUACUCGAAAGAGUAGCUAAUACCGCAUACGAUCUAUGGCUGAAAGCGGGGGACCGUAAGGCCUCGCGCGAUUGGAGCGGCCGAUGUCAGAUUAGGUAGUUGGUGGGGUAAAGGCUCACCAAGCCAACGAUCUGUAGCUGGUCUGAGAGGACGACCAGCCACACUGGGACUGAGACACGGCCCAGACUCCUACGGGAGGCAGCAGUGGGGAAUUUUGGACAAAGGGCGCAAGCCUGAUCCAGCAAUGCCGCGUGCAGGAAGAAGGCCUUCGGGUUGUAAACUGCUUUUGUACGGAACGAAACGGCUCUGGUUAAUACCCGGGGCUAAUGACGGUACCGUAAGAAUAAGCACCGGCUAACUACGUG
RNAcentral lists this ribosomal RNA (482 nucleotides) under uncultured bacterium. RNAcentral's name for it is "partial 16S ribosomal RNA". It matches the Rfam family "Bacterial small subunit ribosomal RNA", at positions 30 to 507 of the family's 1533-position model. The record is from RNAcentral.